Molecule: ribosomal RNA, 300 nt
Filed under: uncultured Larkinella sp.
Lineage: Bacteria; Pseudomonadati; Bacteroidota; Cytophagia; Cytophagales; Spirosomataceae
Description: bacterial SSU rRNA
Rfam family: Bacterial small subunit ribosomal RNA
Source: RNAcentral
GGUAACUCGGUGCCGGCGGCGGGGUUAAUAAGGUGGUUGGGAUCUGUAAUUGGGGUUAGUGGGCGUAAAGCGUGCGUAGGCGGGUUUUUAAGUCGGAUGUGAAAUCCCCGAGCUUAACUUGGGAAUUGCAUUCGAUACUGGGAAGCUAGAGUAUGGGAGAGGAUGGUAGAAUUCCAGGUGUAGCGGUGAAAUGCGUAGAGAUCUGGAGGAAUACCGAUGGCGAAGGCAGCCAUCUGGCCUAAUACUGACGCUGAGGUACGAAAGCAUGGGGAGCAAACAGGAUUAGAUACCCCAGUAGUC